RNAcentral lists this ribosomal RNA (896 nucleotides) under Tetraploa yakushimensis. RNAcentral's name for it is "LSU rRNA". It matches the Rfam family "Eukaryotic large subunit ribosomal RNA", at positions 71 to 952 of the family's 3401-position model. The record is from RNAcentral. Lineage: Eukaryota; Fungi; Ascomycota; Dothideomycetes; Pleosporales; Tetraplosphaeriaceae.
GGGAUUGCCCUAGUAACGGCGAGUGAAGCGGCAACAGCUCAAAUUUGAAAUCUGAGUGAAGAGCGCAGCUCAAAUAUGUAUCAUGCUCCCUCCGGGGCCCGAGUUGUAAUUUGCAGAGGGCGCUUUGGCGUCGGCGCCGGCCUAAGUUCCUUGGAACAGGACGUCAUAGAGGGUGAGAACCCCGUACGUGGCAGGCCGCCUUCGCCGUGUAAAGCCCCUUCGACGAGUCGAGUUGUUUGGGAAUGCAGCUCUAAAUGGGAGGUAAAUUCCUUCUAAAGCUAAAUACUGGCCAGAGACCGAUAGCGCACAAGUAGAGUGAUCGAAAGAUGAAAAGCACUUUGGAAAGAGAGUCAAAAAGCACGUGAAAUUGUUGAAAGGGAAGCGCUUGCAGCCAGACUUGCCUGUAGUUGCUCAUCCGGGCCCCGGCCCGGUGCACUCUUCUGCGGGCAGGCCAGCAUCAGUCUGGGCGGCCGGAUAAAGGCCUCGGGAACGUAGCUCCCUCCGGGGAGUGUUAUAGCCCGGGGGGCAAUGCGGCCCGCCCGGACUGAGGUCCCCGCAUCUGCUAGGAUGCGGGGGUAAAGGGUGUAAACGGCCCCUCUUGAAACACGGACCCAGGAGUCUAAAAUCUAUGCGAGUGUUUGGGGGUCAAGCCCCGGCGCGAAAAGAAAAUGAAAGGAGGGGGGAACCCCCCCCGGGGUGCACCAUCGACCGAUCCUGAUGUCUUCGGAUGGAUUUGAGUAAGAGCAUAGCUGUUGGGACCCGAAAGAUGGUGAACUAUGCCUGAAUAGGGUGAAGCCAGAGGAAACUCUGGUGGAGGCUCGCAGCGGUUCUGACGUGCAAAUCGAUCGUCAAAUUUGGGCAUAGGGGCGAAAGACUAAUCGAACUAUCUAGUAGUG